This 434-nucleotide ribosomal RNA is filed under the name uncultured bacterium. RNAcentral describes it as "partial 16S ribosomal RNA". It matches the Rfam family "Bacterial small subunit ribosomal RNA", at positions 29 to 507 of the family's 1533-position model. The record is from RNAcentral.
AGCGAACGCUGGCGGCAGGCCUAACACAUGCAAGUCGAACGAACCUUUCGGGGUUAGUGGCGGACGGGUGAGUAACACGUGGGAACGUGCCUUUAGGUUCGGAAUAACUCAGGGAAACUUGUGCUAAUACCGAAUGUGCCCUUCGGGGGAAAGAUUUAUCGCCUUUAGAGCGGCCCGCGUCUGAUUAGCUAGUUGGUUGAGGUAAUGGCUCACCAAGGCGACGAUCAGUAGCUGGUCUGAGAGGAUGAUCAGCCACAUUGGGACUGAGACACGGCCCAAACUCAUACGGGAGGCAGCAGUGGGGAAUCUUGCGCAAUGGGCGAAAGCCUGACGCAGCCAUGCCGCGUGAAUGAUGAAGGUCUUAGGAUUGUAAAAUUCUUUCAACGGGGACGAUAAUGACGGUACCCGGAGAAGAAGCCCCGGCUAACUUCGUG